ACCUGAAGGCAGCACAGCAUUGGGUCUUGCCCAAGGCCUGCUGUAACCCCUACCUGGCUACAACCUAUGUUCACUUAUGACCCUAGGGCUCUGCAGUCAGCAGGUGGUGAAGCCAGUCAGUAAGAAUUUGAAAUGAAGAAAGAACAAUACAAGCUGCAGACCACAUAAAAAAAAUGAUUCUUGAAAAAUCACCUAGGUUCCCAUGGCCAGGAGACUCUCUAAAAGCAAAAUCAAGCUUAUGACAGUCAAGCGAGCCUCUUCCCUCCUCCCGUCCUGGAUCUCAGGGUCUCUACUGUCCAGUCCAUUCUUCCUUCACGCCUAAAGCUGAAUUAGGUACAUCUCCCCGGUGUUCCCAAAGACGCUGAGGAUGCAGUUAUUGAAGCUGGUGCGCAUUUACAGACUCCUCCUCUUGGUGAAGGUUUUGUGCCAGACUCUGGUGACAAAGCAUUGUCCUCUCAGACUCAGUGGAAGAAGGAGACAGACACAUACCAGGGAUCGACAGCCGGAGUGUCAGGCUGUGACAGGCAGAAGAUUGUGUUUCCCCACCAUCCCUACACCAAACCCAGGGAAAAGAUAAGCUAACAGGCAGAUCUUCCUGUCACCAAACAUACAGAUCUACCUUCAACUUCAUGCUCCCAAUCCAAUGAAGACUUCAUCUAAUGUCUCUUCGGUAUGAGUGCAUGCUUCCUCCCUGGAACCUUCAUACAGGUAACUGUUGGGAGCAAUGACAUCCCAGUUUGUCCCUGGAAUGGCUGGAAAGGGUACGAUCUUAACUACUUAACAAUAUACAUACUGAUCCGUUGUGGAAUUAUUAAGGAAAAUACGUUGAAAUAGGUGGCAUUCUUGUCAAAGACAUAUAUGGAUGGCUAGAUGGGUAG
This is a long non-coding RNA of Symphalangus syndactylus (siamang), 878 nucleotides long. RefSeq lists it as uncharacterized. NCBI's taxonomy places the organism in Eukaryota, Metazoa, Chordata, Mammalia, Primates, Hylobatidae. The record is from RefSeq and is a predicted model, not a curated record.